GGAGCUGUAGCUCAGUGGUAGAGCACCCGCCUUACAUGUGUGAGGCACAGGGUUUGAUCCUCAGCACCUCCU
RNAcentral lists this transfer RNA (72 nucleotides) under Ictidomys tridecemlineatus (thirteen-lined ground squirrel). RNAcentral describes it as "Spermophilus tridecemlineatus (thirteen-lined ground squirrel) tRNA". It matches the Rfam family "tRNA". Rfam says of the family: Transfer RNA (tRNA) molecules are approximately 80 nucleotides in length. Their secondary structure includes four short double-helical elements and three loops (D, anti-codon, and T loops). Further hydrogen bonds mediate the characteristic L-shaped molecular structure. tRNAs have two regions of fundamental functional importance: the anti-codon, which is responsible for specific mRNA codon recognition, and the 3' end, to which the tRNAs corresponding amino acid is attached (by aminoacyl-tRNA synthetases). tRNAs cope with the degeneracy of the genetic code in two manners: having more than one tRNA (with a specific anti-codon) for a particular amino acid; and 'wobble' base-pairing, i.e. permitting non-standard base-pairing at the 3rd anti-codon position. RNAcentral also lists the same sequence under 1 other name. The record is from Rfam by way of RNAcentral. Lineage: Eukaryota; Metazoa; Chordata; Mammalia; Rodentia; Sciuridae.